CCUACGGGUGGCAGCAGUGAGGAAUAUUGGUCAAUGGGCUUACGCCUGAACCAGCCAAGUCGCGUGAGGGAAGACUGCCCUAUGGGUUGUAAACCUCUUUUGUCAGGGAGCAACGCCGGCUACGUGUAGCCGGACUGAGAGUACCUGAAGAAAAAGCAUCGGCUAACUCCGUGCCAGAAUCCGCGGUAAUACGGAGGAUGCGAGCGUUAUCCGGAUUUAUUGGGGUUAAAGGCUGCGUAGGCGGAAUGCCAAGUCAGCGGUAAAAUCGUGGGGCUCAACCUCGCGUCGCCGUUGAAACUGGCGAUCUUGAGUGAGCGAGAAGUAUGCGGAAUGCGGUGUGUAGCGGUGACAUGCAUAGAUAUCACGCAGAACUCCGAUUGCGAAGGCAGCAUACCGGCGCCCAACUGACGCUGAAGCACGAAAGCGUGGGUAUCGAACAGGAUUAGAUACCCUAGUAGUC
RNAcentral lists this ribosomal RNA (460 nucleotides) under uncultured bacterium. RNAcentral describes it as "partial 16S ribosomal RNA". It matches the Rfam family "Bacterial small subunit ribosomal RNA", at positions 338 to 795 of the family's 1533-position model. The record is from RNAcentral.